AUCACCUAGAAGUGGGAGAGAUGCAGGAGGACCCAAGUUUGGAUCCUCUAGAACUGACAUAAAUGCCAAACGGCAGCACAUGUCUGUACUCUAGCCCUGACGUUCACUGGCCAAUCUGACUAGCCAAAGUAAUAAGCUCCAAGUUCAGUGCUAGACCCUGGCACAAAACAUAAGGUCAGGGCUGUUUCAUUUAGCUUCAUGAUAACCACCUUUGCUCUGGGAAGUAGAGUACAUCCUACCAGCCCUCCCCUGAAUUUUUUUUUUAACUCAAAGUGAUUUUGUUGCUUGUGUACACAAAAGAGACUGUGGACAACUCAUAUUUUCAAUUGGGUGGGUACCACCCGCUUAGUCUUAUAGUAUCCAGCCAACCAGUGAAUUCUGCUAUCAGAAUCAGGUGGAAUUGAGCAUCCUUAUUCUGUUUCUCUCAAGGAGCUUUCGGACUGCAACUGCUUUUUUUUAUCAAAUGGGAAAGAUCCUCAGGGGCAUCAGAGGCAAGGCCUUAAGGAUUCUCAAGGUUUUAUUUCUAGUCAUAAAACUGACCUGUGCCACACCAUGAGCCCCUCAGGAUCACACCUAUCUGGGAGAGAGUCAGGCCUUUGUUGGCCAAUUUGUAAAUCUGUUCCUUCAUGUCAUCAGAUGUCAAUUUCAGCCACAUGGCAUGCAACAGGGGGCUGGAGAGAUGACUUCAUGGUCUAAGAGUACUUUCUGCCCUUGUAGAGGACCCAAGUUCAACUCCUAGCACCCAUGAGGAAGGUGAUUAAAGAACCCGAACUUUGACCUUUUAAGUACACGCACACGUGCUAUGCAAACACAUACCCAUACUCCAUCCCCAACACCCAAAAUAAAAAUAAUCUAAGAGAUGCUGUGUGUUCAGUGGGACAUUUUCAGAGAAGACUAAGGUAAGAUCUACCCUGAUUGUGGAUGGCACCAUAGCAUAUACUCAGGGCUCAGAUAAUAAAAGGAUUUGGAAACAAAAAAGCCAGCUGAGCAUCAGCCUUCACCUUGCUUCCUGACCUUCCUUCCUGACCAGUGAAACAAACUGUUCUGGUCCUCCCGUGCCCCAUCACCAUCAUGACCUGUACCCCUCUGACCACUAUGACCUAACACGAAUCCUUCCUUCCUUCCUGAAGCGGCGUCCGUCAGGCAUUUUAGACAAUCUGGUGUGAAAGUAGCAAGGCAGAGGGCAUACAAACGGUAUAAUUGAAAUGCUGAAGUGCAUUUAUCUUGUGGUAUUUGUUUGCUGACCCCAACAUGGCAGAGAGAUCGAGUCUUUUCUGGUAGUCAGUUUCCAUCAAGGUCCAUCUAUGAACUCCCUUGUAAAAAUUCAGUUUUGAAAAGAACCCUGCUAAGUCAUUGACAUUUUCAAGGCUGGCUACGCCCAUGCCUGGAUCAUUCUACCUCAGGGGCAUGCCCAUCUCCAGUAUUGUCAUCACCUGGGAAGUUAAUCACAACUGCUUAAUGUAUUUAUUCAUUUAUUUUUUUGUCAUUCCUGGGUAGCAUGGGGUUUCUCAGGCCAAUUGGGAAUAAUGUCAGCCUACAGCCCACCUGUGUAUGGCCCUUUCUAGAACUACAUAGCAGGAUUGUGGUCUUCACUGGCAAUGUGGACAGGCACUACUGAAACUAGCACUUCAACCUUCUUCCAGUCAGCCUAAUAUGUAAAACCUGCAAGUUUCUAGAACAGUGGUUCUCAGCGCUGUGACUCCUUUGACAAACCUCUAUUUCCAAAAAAAAAAAAAAAAAAA
Molecule: long non-coding RNA, 1742 nt
Filed under: Mus musculus (house mouse)
Lineage: Eukaryota; Metazoa; Chordata; Mammalia; Rodentia; Muridae
Description: predicted gene, 47123
Source: RNAcentral